RNA transcript from Quercus robur (English oak), 4475 nucleotides. It is a transcript of the gene named translocase of chloroplast 120, chloroplastic, with no coding region annotated. The record is from RefSeq and is a predicted model, not a curated record. Lineage: Eukaryota; Viridiplantae; Streptophyta; Magnoliopsida; Fagales; Fagaceae. The transcript has 3 exons.
AACAUCGUAUAUGAAACAACACAUUUUCUUCUCUCACUCUCUCUACAUACACACACAUUUCCUCUCUCUCUCUCUCUAAAAUUUGCACACUUUCUCUCUCUAAAAGCCUGUAUCUGUAUUAUCCAGAAUAGCAGGUUUUUUUUGAAGCAACAUUUUGAGGAUUUUUUCUGGGAUGGAAAAUGGUGUUGGGGUUGUUGAUGGGUAUGAAAAGGGAGAGAAGAGUGUGGAAGUUGGGGUGAUUGAGGGGAGAGUAGAGGAGGAAGGGAGGGUUGUGGUGGGGUCUGAUGAAGUCAAGGAUUUGGAUGGUGAGGAGGUUUUUGAGGAGGCAAUGAGUGACACAAAGGAUUUGGAGGAGCAUGGUUCAUUGGAUGGUGGGGUUGGUGGGGGAGAUAGGAAUGUUGAGGUGGUUGGUGAGUCGGGUUUGCGAGGGGUAGAUGAGAAUUUGAAUGGUGGAUAUGAGGUUGAGAAGUUUGAGGAGGCGAGUGAGGUUGCAUCUUUGGAGGUGGUUGGGAGUAUUGAAGACAAGGUGGAAUCUUUGGUGGAUGGGAAGAGUGUUGAUGGGGUGGUGGUGGAGGAUGGGGUUGAUGAGGGAGGGACUGAAAAGGAGGUAGAGAAUGAUGAAUUUAAUGGGUCGAGGGAAGACGUGGUUGUUGAUAGUGGAGAAAAUGGUGGAAAGGAGGUAUCUGAGAUUGGUGCUGGUGGAGAAGAGGAAGUCUUGAAGGGUGAGGACGAAGUGGAUGUGAAGUCUGGUCUAGUGAUUGAAAAGUCUGAAGAUAAGGAUUCUGAUGAUGUGAAUUUGGAGCAAAUGACUGUAGAUGAAAAAGCAGAAAGUGGAGGUUGUGAUAAGUUGGAAGGAAGUGUUAUUGAGUCUCCUGUAGAAUCUGAAUUGAAUAGGGAGAUUUUGAAUGAAGGUGGUAAUGGUGAGGAACUGAAGGAGAAUAACUUGGGUACUGAAUGCCAAGACAACAGCAGCAGGGAACUGAAAGAUGCUAUAGCUGGCCUUGUUCCAACCUGCGAAGAUGAUAGCAGUGAUGUACCAAGGGACACUUCAUCUUAUAAGGACACAGAACAUCGGGAUUACAGGAAUGGGAAAGUGGAAGAUACUCAAGUUGGAGUGGAUUCCGAGCGUCAUGUGGAAACUUCUGAACUGAAAGACAUUUCAGUUGAUCUGCAUACAUCUGUGAAAGAAAUUUCAGUAAUUGAAAGCUCACCUUCUGCUGAAUUGUCUAAAACUGAGAAUUCUGAAAAGUUUCAGGGUGCUGCAACUGCCUUGAGAGCAGAGGAUAAUAAAGUUUCUCAACUUCAGCAUACUAAUGAAGAAGUUCAUGAAGCUUCCACCAGCCAUGUUGUGGCUGAGGAGAUUAAAACGAAGGUAGAAAAUACUCAGCAAGAGAAGAAAAGACCUGGAGGUAAUGGAGAAGAGGAGAUACAGCCAGCACCAGAGCUUGCUUCUUCAUUUGGAAAAUCCACAAAUCCUGCUCCCCCUGCUCGUCCUGCUGGCCUUGGUCGUGCUGCCCCACUAUUGGAACCUGCACCUCGGGUUGUUCAGCAGCCUCGUGUGAACGGUAGUGCAUCUCAUAUGCAAAACCAGCAAAUCGAGGAUGCUGUUAAUGGGGAUGCUGAGGAGUAUGAUGAGACUCGGGAAAAACUCCAAAUGAUAAGAGUGAAAUUUUUACGGCUUGCACAUAGGCUUGGACAGACUCCACAUAAUGUUGUUGUGGCACAGGUUUUGUACAGACUGGGAUUAGCUGAGCAGUUGCGAGGGAGAAAUGGGGGUCGUGUUGGUGCGUUUAGCUUUGACCGUGCGAGUGCAAUGGCAGAGCAGCUUGAGGCAGCAGGGCAGGAGCCCCUUGAUUUCUCUUGUACAAUUAUGGUCCUUGGGAAGACAGGAGUUGGUAAAAGUGCAACCAUCAAUUCGAUAUUUGAUGAAGUUAAGUUCAGCACUGAUGCUUUUCAAAUGGGUACAAAGAAGGUGCAGGAUGUUGUGGGAACGGUGCAGGGGAUUAAGGUACGUGUCAUUGACACUCCAGGCCUUCUCCCUUCUUUGUCAGACCAGCGGCAGAAUGAGAAGAUUCUCCACUCUGUUAAGCGCUUUAUCAAGAAAACUCCUCCAGAUAUUGUAUUGUAUCUUGAUAGAUUGGACAUGCAGAGCAGGGAUUUUAGUGAUAUGCCACUCUUGCGCACCAUCACUGAGAUAUUUGGUCCAUCUAUAUGGUUCAAUGCAAUUGUGGUCUUAACUCAUGCAGCCUCUGCUCCACCUGAUGGUCCAAAUGGUACUGCUUCUAGUUAUGACAUGUUUGUGACCCAGCGUUCUCAUGUUGUCCAGCAAGCCAUUCGUCAAGCAGCUGGAGAUAUGCGGCUUAUGAAUCCUGUUUCAUUAGUAGAGAACCAUUCGGCAUGCAGAACAAAUAGGGCUGGGCAGAGAGUGCUGCCAAAUGGUCAGGUUUGGAAGCCUCAUUUGUUACUGCUCUCUUUUGCAUCAAAGAUUUUGGCUGAAGCAAACGCACUUUUAAAAUUGCAAGAUAGUCCCCCUGGCAAGCCUUUCCCAAAUCGAACAAGAGCACCUCCUUUACCUUUCCUUCUCUCUUCCCUUCUCCAAUCAAGACAACAGGUGAAGCUGCCUGAGGAGCAGUUUGGUGAUGAUGAUGAUGAUGUAGAUGAUGAUCUUGAUGAGUCGUCAGAUUCCGAUGAGGAAACAGAAUUUGAUGAAUUGCCACCAUUUAAACGUCUGACGAAGGCCCAGGAGGCAAGGCUCUCUAAAGCUCAGAAGAAGGCAUAUUUUGAUGAGUUGGAAUAUAGGGAAAAGCUUUUUAUGAAGAAGCAGUUGAAGGAGGAGAAAAAGAGACGGAAGAUGAUGAAGAAGAUGGCAUCUUCGGCAAAGGAUAUGCCUAGUGACUUCAGUGAGAAUGUAGAAGAAGAAAGUGGUGGGGGCGCAUCUUUGCCAAUUCCCUCAGCUGAUUAUAACUUACCUGCUUCUUUCGAUUCUGAUAAUCCUACUUACCGGUAUCGCCAUCUUGAUUCAACCAAUCAGUGGUUUGUAAGGCCUGUUCUAGACAGCCAUGGUUGGGACCAUGAUGUUGGUUAUGAAGGAAUAAAUGUAGAAAGAUUGUUUGUGGUUAGAGACAAAAUACCCUUAUCUUUUUCAAGCCAGGUUACAAAGGAUAAAAAGGAUGCCAAUGUCCAACUGGAAGUAGCCAGUUCAAUAAAGCACGGUGAAGGGAAAGCAACUUCAGUAGGUUUUGAUAUGCAGUCUGUUGGAAAGGAUUUAGCUUACACUCUACGGAGUGAGACAAGGUUUAGUAAUUCUAGGAAGAACAGGGCAACUGCUGGUGUCUCAGUUACUCUCUUGGGUGAUGCCUUAUCAGCUGGAUUGAAAGUUGAAGACAAAUUGAUUGCUAAUAAACGGUUCAGGUUGGUUAUGACUGGUGGCGCAAUGACGGCUCGUGGUGAUGUUGCUUAUGGUGGUAGUUUGGAGGCACAGUUGAGAGAUAAGGAUUAUCCUCUUGGUCGUUCUCUUUCAACUCUAGGUCUUUCUGUCAUGGAUUGGCAUGGUGAUCUUGCCAUUGGUUUAAAUAUACAGUCACAGAUCCCUGUGGGACGGUCUUCAAACUUGAUUGCUCGUGCCAAUCUGAAUAAUAGGGGGGCAGGACAGGUCAGCAUUCGCUUAAAUAGCUCGGAACAGAUUCAAAUAGCUUUGGUCGGCCUCGUUCCUCUUCUCAGAAAGCUACUUGGUCAUCUUCAACAAUUGCAGGACAAGUCAGCAUUCGCUUAAAUAGCUUGGAACCGAUUCAAAUAGCUUUGGCCAGCCUCAUUCCUCUCUCAGAAAGCUACUUGGUCAUUUUCAACAAUUGCAGUGUAGUCAAUGAUGAAAUUAGGUUAUACUGCAGCAGCUUCGCGGUUAUAGGAAAUAACUUUUAAAUGACCAUAUCUUAAUGAUCAUCAUCAAAAGUAACAAGUUGAGUGGAGCAACAUCACCUUCGGAUGGUUCCAUCAUUGACACUAUUUUUAUUAUGCACGAAUCACAAGAAGUUACAUCAGGGGUUAUGAAGAAAGUUACGAAAAAUUGUCUUCCUUAUCUUGUUGUAAUUAUAUAUCAAGCAGGAAAUUGCUUAAUGCCGUCAGGAUAAAAAUAAGUAUAGGGACACAAAUUGUUCCACAACUUGUUGAGGUGGCAGGAUGUUAGUGGUGAAAAGUGAUUGUCCACUACUCAUAACUUGCCAUCUGAACUAAGUUGCGGAACAAAGUUGUGGAGGAUAAGUGUGAACUGAUAAUCACUCCAUUCAAGGUAGCCCCAUAUGAUGAGAUAGAUGUCUACUGCGCCCCUUGUACUCUAAAAUGAGGCUGUCAAUUCUUUUCUUUGGUAGGCUAAUCUAAUGCUGUUCCGUUUGUUCUAUGGUCUCACCCUAUCUGUUGUUGAUGGGCCAAGAAAUUUUCAGCCUUAGCUUUCCAAAUGAAUACAUGUGAUACCUUGGACC